UACGGAAGGGGCAAGCGUUGUUCGGAAUCAUUGGGCGUAAAGGGCGCGUAGGUGGUUCUGUAUGUCUAUCGUGAAAGCGUACGGCUCAACCGUAUUUUGUCGGUAGAAACUGCAGGACUUGAGGCUGGGAGGGGCUGGUGGAAUUCCCUGUGUAGCGGUGAAAUGCGCAGAUAUCAGGAGGAACACCGGUGGCGAAGGCGGGUCUCUGGGCCGAUACUGACGCUGAGGAGCGAAAGCGUGGGGAGCGAACGGG
This 253-nucleotide ribosomal RNA is filed under the name uncultured bacterium. Its description in RNAcentral is "partial 16S ribosomal RNA". It matches the Rfam family "Bacterial small subunit ribosomal RNA", at positions 524 to 776 of the family's 1533-position model. The record is from RNAcentral.